AGGACGAACGCUGGCGGCGUGCUUAACACAUGCAAGUCGAACGGAGAUUUAGCAAUAAAAUCUAGUGGCGAACGGGUGAGUAACGCGUAGGCAAUCUGCCUUCUAGAUGGGGACAACAUCCCGAAAGGGGUGCUAAUACCGAAUGUUGUAGCGACUUCGCAUGAAGUUGCUACUAAAGGUGGCCUCUGAAUAUGCUACCGCUAGAAGAUGAGCCUGCGUCUGAUUAGCUAGUUGGAGGGGUAACGGCCCACCAAGGCUUCGAUCAGUAGCCGGUCUGAGAGGAUGAACGGCCACACUGGGACUGAGACACGGCCCAGACUCCUACGGGAGGCAGCAGUGGGGAAUCUUCCGCAAUGGACGAAAGUCUGACGGAGCAACGCCGCGUGAGUGAAGAAGGUUUUCGGAUCGUAAAGCUCUUUCGUUAGGGACGAACGUGCUCUUUGUGAAUAAUGAGGAGUAAUGACAGUACCUAAAUAAGAAGCCACGGCUAACUACGUGCCAGCCGCGGC
This 509-nucleotide ribosomal RNA is filed under the name uncultured bacterium. Its description in RNAcentral is "bacterial SSU rRNA". It matches the Rfam family "Bacterial small subunit ribosomal RNA", at positions 26 to 518 of the family's 1533-position model. The record is from RNAcentral.